This 395-nucleotide ribosomal RNA is filed under the name uncultured Desulfobulbus sp. RNAcentral describes it as "bacterial SSU rRNA". It matches the Rfam family "Bacterial small subunit ribosomal RNA", at positions 991 to 1382 of the family's 1533-position model. The record is from RNAcentral. Lineage: Bacteria; Pseudomonadati; Thermodesulfobacteriota; Desulfobulbia; Desulfobulbales; Desulfobulbaceae.
GGAGACCCUUAGGAAACUAGGGGUGCUUCCAUCUGGAAGAAUCUGGAGACAGGUGCUGCAUGGCUGUCGUCAGCUCGUGUCGUGAGAUGUCGGGUUAAGUCCCGCAACGAGCGCAACCCUUGCCUUUAGUUGCCAGCAGUUCGGCUGGCACUCUAAAGGGACUGCCGGUGUUAAACCGGAGGAAGGUGGGGAUGACGUCAAGUCCUCAUGGCCUUUAUGACCAGGGCUACACACGUACUACAAUGGCCGAUACAAAGGGCAGCGACACUGCGAGGUGAAGCCAAUCCCGUAAAAUCGGUCUCAGUCCGGAUUGGAGUCUGCAACUCGACUCCAUGAAGUUGGAAUCGCUAGUAAUCGUGGAUCAGCAUGCCACGGUGAAUACGUUCCCGGGCCUU